UACGAAGGGAGCUAGCGUUGUUCGGAAUUACUGGGCGUAAAGGGCGCGUAGGCGGUUAUGUAAGUUAGAUGUGAAAUCCCCGGGCUUAACCUGGGAACUGCAUUUAAGACUAUAUAGCUUGAGGACGAGAGAGGAAAGUGGAAUUGUGAGUGUAGAGGUGAAAUUCGUAGAUAUUCACAAGAACACCAGUGGCGAAGGCGACUUUCUGGCUCGUAUCUGACGCUAAGGCGCGAAAGCGUGGGGAGCAAACAGG
RNAcentral lists this ribosomal RNA (253 nucleotides) under uncultured bacterium. Its description in RNAcentral is "partial 16S ribosomal RNA". It matches the Rfam family "Bacterial small subunit ribosomal RNA", at positions 524 to 776 of the family's 1533-position model. The record is from RNAcentral.